This is a long non-coding RNA of Oreochromis aureus, 592 nucleotides long. The record is from Ensembl. Lineage: Eukaryota; Metazoa; Chordata; Actinopteri; Cichliformes; Cichlidae.
UUUCACUGCUAUGCAGAUGACACCCAACUUCUAUCUAUCCACGAAGCAGAAAAAUAGCAUUAAGUGUUUUCAUUGUUAAACACAGAAGCAUAAAUUAUGUGUGCUUUUACUGAGGAUUAAUGCAGGUGCACACCUGAAACAUUCACACAAUCACUAAAGAUUAAUAUGUUCAAGUUAUCAUUACAUAUAGGUGGUUUCACUAAGGGUUAAUUAUGGUCAGUUGCUCAAUACCACAACACCUGUGGUCAUGAGUUUUUUGUCAUUUUCUACGUACCUCCUUGACUGUCUCAAUGUCAGGCCAGAUGUUUUUGUUAUUAUUGUGCCUUCUCUCUCUCUCUCUCUCUCCUUUCCUCUGUCCUCUGUCCGCAGAGCUCAUCUUGGGUUCCCGCCUUUGGCCCAUGCACCUGGCCUCAUUACUCACCUGCUGUUGAUUUACCUGAUUACCUGGCCAAUUGUCGUUGCUGGAUUGUUGAGUAACCUGUAUUCCCCUGGACCUGUUCCUGUUUUCUGUCCCUGGAUUAUCUGAGACUCGAUUCCCGGAACCCCUGACCUCUGCACGUUGUAUAUAUUGCACUUGGUGUUUCUGUAAAUA